GGUAAGUUGGGGUCAGCAGGCGUGGUAGGUCGAAUGUGUGAAGGGUUAAUCGGAAGUACUGGGCGUAAAGUGGUCGUAGGCGGUUUGUUAAGGCUGGCGUGAAAUCCCCUGGCGCAACCUUGGAAUGGUGAGUGAUACUGGCGAGCUAGAGUGUGUCAGAGGAUGGUGGAAUUCCCGGUGUAGCGGUGAAAUGCGUAGAGAUCGGGAGGAACAUCAGUGGCGAAGGCGGCCAUCUGGGACAACACUGACGCUGAAGCACGAAAGCGUGGGGAGCAAACAGGAUUAGAUACCCUAGUAGUC
RNAcentral lists this ribosomal RNA (300 nucleotides) under uncultured Kribbella sp. RNAcentral describes it as "partial 16S ribosomal RNA". It matches the Rfam family "Bacterial small subunit ribosomal RNA", at positions 496 to 795 of the family's 1533-position model. The record is from RNAcentral. Lineage: Bacteria; Bacillati; Actinomycetota; Actinomycetes; Propionibacteriales; Kribbellaceae.